This is a long non-coding RNA of Alnus glutinosa, 542 nucleotides long. RefSeq lists it as uncharacterized. The transcript has 3 exons. NCBI's taxonomy places the organism in Eukaryota, Viridiplantae, Streptophyta, Magnoliopsida, Fagales, Betulaceae. The record is from RefSeq and is a predicted model, not a curated record.
UUUCGUGUCCCGCGCGCGCCAUAUCCAAGACUUAAGAUACUUUUGGUUUUAUUUAUUUUUAUUUACUUAAUUUUUGUUUCUUUCUAGAAGUCUCACUAUCUCUCAUUUCUAUCUCCUCUCAUUUUUUUCUUUUUUUGUGGACAGAAUCUCUCUCAGCUUUCUCUCUUUCGUUACUCUCUCCCUCUCAUCUCCAUUCUCAAAUCUCUCAUCUCUCUCUCUUGCUCUAUCACAGACACCGUCGGUCACCGCUCUCCGUCACCGGUAGGUCCUCUCUCUAGCUCUCUCACUCUCUCUGAUCUCUUUUUCUUAGAUCUAAAAUCUCUUCAGCCUUCCAAGAAGCCUCAAAUGGGGUUCUUCAUGCUCUCACCAAAGUUAUGAAGGUUGCAUUGUAUGAGCAGAAUGACAAACCUUCUUCUGCCCUUGAGUAUACUGCAAGGAGCCGGCAUCACUUUCUUCUUUGUAUUUUUUUUUUUUUUUUUUAAUGAUGUAUUUGUAUUUAGUUUUAUUUGUAUUUAUAUAUUUUUUUUUUUUUUUUUCAUUUU